UGAGUAUUUGUUUUAGAUUUUUUGAUCAAUAGGUUGUAUAUUUUAGAUAAAAUUCGCAAAACUUCUAUUUUUAGAAAGUUUUCAUUUUUAUUGAGAAAUAUUGUAGAUUUAGGGUUGUAAUUUAGAAUUUAGGAUAACAAGAAAUUUUGUUGAUAGAUGAGUAUUCUUUGAAGAUUUUUGAUCAAUAAGUUGUAUUUUUAAGAUAAAAUUCUUAAAAAAUCUAUUUUAGGAAAGUUUUAUUUUUAUUUGGAAAUAUUGUAGAUUUGGGGUUCAGAUUAAAAAUAUUAGAACAACAAGAAUUUU
RNAcentral lists this long non-coding RNA (303 nucleotides) under Brassica rapa (field mustard). Its description in RNAcentral is "long non-coding RNA (BRAP_LNC004207)". Lineage: Eukaryota; Viridiplantae; Streptophyta; Magnoliopsida; Brassicales; Brassicaceae. The record is from RNAcentral.